GCGAGUGAGAAGUAAUGCAAAAGUUACUUUAUUUGUAAAGGUCACUUUCCUCGACACUGGUUGAUCUCAGCGCAUUGAUCUCAUUAAUAUGUUGAUGUUUUUCUGUUUGGACCAGUGCCGUCUCCCAGACCCGAUAACUCGUUCCACGAGAGUUCAGGAGUCACGAUAGACAGCAGCCACAACAUACACCAACCCACAUACGACCCGUGGACGGGGUCUGAGGCACGGGACAUGAGCCCUUCAGAGCCCACCAAAGAGAAGGAGAAACAAGGCUUCUUCAGAUCCAUCAAGAAGAAGAAGAAGAAGUCACAAACCACAGACGCUGAUGAAGAGCGACUUCCAGUCACGAGGAAAACACUGUUUCCUCUCUUUCACUCUCAGAGGAGCUUCACGCGCAGCUCCUCUGAGAGAGAGCGUCCCCUAGUGGCCACACCAAUGGUACACAUGAGUCUCACACCUACAGUCCUAUGGGGUUAGAUCUCUGCCACAAUUCUGCGCGCGAAAGAUCAUAUUUGGAGCGCACAAAAGUGCAUUUUGCACGCACGCGAUCUGAGUUUU
RNAcentral lists this long non-coding RNA (558 nucleotides) under Sinocyclocheilus grahami. RNAcentral describes it as "lncRNA (ENSSGRG00000013081.1)". The record is from RNAcentral. Lineage: Eukaryota; Metazoa; Chordata; Actinopteri; Cypriniformes; Cyprinidae.